CGGAGUUGAACCCACAGCUUUUGGUGUGUGGGAUGACGCUCCAAUACACUAAGCACCCAGCCAGGGCUUUCAUUGCUUGUAUUUAUCAUACUUUAUUUUUGGAAUUAGGUUAUUUUAUUUUCUGGUGUAAUAUAUACACCAGUGAAGAACUCCUUGGGUAUAAAACAUUUUUAAAAUUUGGAAUUGUUUCCUCACGAUGGAUUCCUGAAGUAAUAUUAUUAAUCAAAGGUUAUAAAGCUUUUAAGGACUCUUGCUGUACAUUUCCAAAUUGUUAUUCCUAAAGUGUGUAUUCCUAAGGUGCGUAUUCCUAAGUUGUGUACUCCUAAGUGUGUAUUCCUUCUGUGAGUUGGGCAGCUCCAGGUCGCAGGUGACAUUUGCUGUCUGAGCGCCUGCGUCCCCACCUGCUGACCCAGGACGAGGUUUCCACACAGAUGCAGGGGCCUCACUCCCUCUCCUCUGUCCACCCUCAGCAUCACCCUCAGCACCACCCUCAGCGUGCAGCCCGCCCGCCUGGCCCAGAAAUUCCAUUCCUGGGCGCAGGUCCUCACUCCACUCUUGCGGGGAAGAGACUCUCACUCUGCUGUGAUUUCUGUUCACUGAGGAAGUCGGCGCUGAGUUCAGGACGGACCCUGAGGUCCGGGGUGCAGCGGCGCCCGCGGCAGGAGCGGCCUGUGCGGCCAGGCCGUGCUCGCCUCUCCCUAUGACCAGACGGAUCCCACAGCAUUUCUCUUCAUGGGUUAUUUCAACUCACUUGAAACUAUUUGCAGACAGAAAGACAAUUAUUUUGAAUGCUCAUCUCAGCAUGGAAGACGGAGUCACGGGAUACACGCGCCCUAUGCCUCUGCCGCCGGCCAGGGCUGAGCUGGGACUCAUGGUGUCGGGAAAGGAGAGUGAGAACCGGGGCCGUUGGGAGGCAGCAGACACUCCACCCGAGUGAGAAGUUCUGCAUGGGAAGAAGGUCCAGGAAGGACGCAAACUAGACACGAGGCUGCUCGGCAUGUGGGAUUUAAUCCGAGGGGACAGGACACGACAGUAAACAGCACUUUCUAGAAUAACUGUCAUCCCCAACACGUGCAAACCGUUUAGAAAGUGGGCUGAGGCCGUCCUCCGACACGAGCGUGUGGGAGACGCACAUGGAUCGGACACAGUGUGGCAUCCGCCGGGCACUGUCUUGUCACCAAAUCUCCUGACCAGCACGUGGUGAGGUCAAGCAGGAGACGUGCGGCUCACGGACUACAUCCUGCUCCCGGGCCCGUUAACUAACUACAGGUGGACAUGUGGGUAUUCUAGAUGCGAGAGCACAGUCCUCCUAGCAACUGGAGAUACAGCUUUGAACGAUUUUGUGGGAUUGACCUGUGAUUGUCUGAAUUAAGAAUGCUUCAGUGAAAAACUUGCAUUAACACAUCAGAGACUAAAGUUGUAGAGAUUAAUCCUGGUGAGUUUUUUAGGGAAAUGCUGUCCAACUCCAUGUACAAAAGCAGGACUGUGUCAGGUUAUGUUUAAUGGGUGUUGACUGGCUUAAGCAUAGACAAUCCCCUUUCAGUCCUGUGGUUACAAAAACUGUA
Molecule: long non-coding RNA, 1565 nt
Organism: Myotis davidii
Lineage: Eukaryota; Metazoa; Chordata; Mammalia; Chiroptera; Vespertilionidae
Exons: 2
Source: RefSeq, a predicted model, not a curated record